RNAcentral lists this ribosomal RNA (497 nucleotides) under uncultured bacterium. RNAcentral describes it as "partial 16S ribosomal RNA". It matches the Rfam family "Bacterial small subunit ribosomal RNA", at positions 28 to 507 of the family's 1533-position model. The record is from RNAcentral.
GAUGAACGCUGGCGGCGUGCCUAAUACAUGCAAGUCGAGCGAACGGACGAGAAGCUUGCUUUUCUGAUGUUAGCGGCGGACGGGUGAGUAACACGUGGAUAACCUACCUAUAAGACUGGGAUAACUUCGGGAAACCGGAGCUAAUACCGGAUAAUAUUUUGAACCGCAUGGUUCAAAAGUGAAAGACGGUCUUGCUGUCACUUAUAGAUGGAUCCGCGCUGCAUUAGCUAGUUGGUAAGGUAACGGCUUACCAAGGCAACGAUGCAUAGCCGACCUGAGAGGGUGAUCGGCCACACUGGAACUGAGACACGGUCCAGACUCCUACGGGAGGCAGCAGUAGGGAACCUUCCGCAAUGGGCGAAAGCCUGACGGAGCAACGCCGCGUGAGUGAUGAAGGUCUUCGGAUCGUAAAACUCUGUUAUUAGGGAAGAACAUAUGUGUAAGUAACUGUGCACAUCUUGACGGUACCUAAUCAGAAAGCCACGGCUAACUACGUG